This is a non-coding RNA of Pantherophis guttatus, 458 nucleotides long. The record is from RefSeq and is a predicted model, not a curated record. NCBI's taxonomy places the organism in Eukaryota, Metazoa, Chordata, Lepidosauria, Squamata, Colubridae.
UCUGCAAGUCUGUGCUCCUAGAAGUUUCCUGCAUGGAAAAGAUGGUUGCAGCUUUAAAUUCUUUAUUUUGCGAGGGCAGAAGAACCUACAAAUUGGUAUGGCUACUUACCAUUUGCUCAGGAGAUGUGAUGUCCUUUGAACCUUGAUAUGGGUCAUCAUUCAAAGCAAAUGAAGCUAGAAUUGAUAAUCCAUUGAAGACCUGCUGAUAAUGCUCCCCUAAUCGGAGCAAUAAUUCAUUAUGCAAUCCCUGAAAAUCCUGUCUCAGCAAACUUCCCAGUUCUAUCUCUGUUUCAUUCUAUAAAACACCAUGGAAAAAACGUAUUGGCUUGAAAAUUAUACAAGCAUGUGCACAACAUAAAAAUAUUACAGUACAAUUCCCAUUACUGCAAAUACAGGUGAGCCACUAAUUUGCUAAAUGAAAACUAAAGGGGGAAAUAAAUGUUUAUAAUAUCCUUCAA